Molecule: long non-coding RNA, 5800 nt
Filed under: Gallus gallus (chicken)
Lineage: Eukaryota; Metazoa; Chordata; Aves; Galliformes; Phasianidae
Description: lncRNA (ENSGALG00010007424.1)
Source: RNAcentral
GGAUUUUUUAGAGUGACCUUGAGGAUUAAAAUCUCUUGGUAAAUCAUACAUCAUGAUACGUGGAGUUCAUGUAACACUGUGUAGUAUCAGGCUGAUGUAGGGGUGCAAAAGUCACCAGCUAAGACCCAGGGGCAGUUUCUCCAGCCACAGGAUUCGUGAGUAUUCUUUACUACUCAGUGGGGUUUCUUUGCAGUCCAAAGCUCCUCUUCAAGCUGUACUUUUUGGGGUGCACUCUUUUAAGGGAUGAAUGCAGGUACAAAGUGUGUCUGAUGAUGCAGACAUACGUAAAGAGGACUAUUGCAUUAAAAUUCACUGAAGAGCGUACAGUCUAACUCUGACUGUAACUGGCAGGCCUCCCUUUAUUUCUCCUCAACAGACACUUUUGUUGAUGUCCCUCUCUGAGGCCAAGAAAACUGAUAGAGAAUCAAAGGAGAUGAGUGAAGUACUGGAACAGGAAAAGAAAUGGUGUCUAUGAAGAAGGUAGCUCACUGCUGAGUGUAACACUGGGCUGACAGUUUCUGGUGUUCUCCAAAGGUGGUCUCAGGAGGAGGGGAAGAGGGGGACUAGUAUUAGACAUGGAGGUUGGUGGCCCUGCAUGUGGCAGGAGGGUUGGAGCUUUAUGAUCCUUGAGGUCCCUUCCAACACAAGCCAUUCUUUUAUUCUAUGAUAAGGAAUGGAAGCAGGAUAUCAGAACCAUUUUAAGUUCUUGAGGCCGCCGACUCUGUCUCUGUGAAGACUCUCCUGUGACAAAGGCAGGCAGUGUGGUCAUCAGCAGUAAUGGGAAAUCACUGGGGAGUAGAGGAUGAAGCCUUGCUUACACAGAGUAGAGUCAUUGACCUUCAAAACAGUCUGAAAAUUAUUUUUUCUCAGAUCCUAGAGAAUGAUUAAAGGAGGUAAGGAAGUCCUUCAUGGGGAAAGGGAGAAAAGAACCUAAGUUUACAUCUAAUGGGGCACUUGGGAAGUAUGGAAGUUUUUCUAAUUUAAGUCUGAAUUUGGAUGACAACUUCAGCCAAAAAAAAUGACAAGAGAAAGACAUCUGUGUGGAGAGGCAUUGUCAUCUAUCAGAGCAAUGGAUACAGCAGGAAAGAAAGAAGAGGCAAGGCUCUUCUACCUGGAAUUUUGUCUACUGUUUUCCAACCCUACUGACUGGCCUAUCAUUUGAUCCCCAUGGCCACAGUUCCAGAGAACCUCACAACAACUGAAUAUUUUAUGGUUGAAUGAUGGAUGAAUACGGAUGCCACAGUUACAAACUUUCCCAUCACACUUCUGAUGAAGAACAGAGGGGUUUGCAGCAAUCACACACCACUAAAGAUUCAAAACAUUUGGACUGAGGAAUGUUUUGGACAAAGGAAAGUUUAUUAAGGCUGGACAAGUAUGUUUUAAAGUUUUGGAAGCGUCUUGCCUUUAUAAAUAAAACUGCCGUUAGCCAUUAGAUAGGGUCUGGACACUGGAGUAACUCAUGUUCUCCAUCUGCCCCUGAGGCUUUCUUUUCCUUUUCCAGUGAAUUUUAUCUUUAAACAUUUUUAACGCAUGAAAUACACUUCAGUAUAUUUCACUGGGCAGUGAAAUUCAACCUACCCUAAAGUCUGGAAGGCAAAUAUAUUUGUAACCAGUUCAUUCUCUGAAGUACUUCUUUCUGCAUGUGUUUUCUUUUUUCUUUGUUUGUUUUCUAGCUUGUUACUAAAAUGAAUAUGUGCUUCUUAAUUACAGGUUUAUUUUCUGAUUUAAUUGCUGUUGUUUGGGCAAUAUUUCUCUGAAUGUACACCUACUACUGAGGUGUCUUUGUAAUGGAAUAGCCAUAUUUUACUACAGUAAAAUCUGUCUCUUAUUUCAGCUUCAUGGUAACUUGAGUAAAUCUUAGAUAAGACGAGGCUUUUUAUUUUUUUUCAUCACUUUCUUUGCUAAUGCUCUUAAAACAGUGUCUGAAGUGGAAUUUGGAAGUUUCGUAUUGCACUGUUUCUUAAAGAAAACUAUUGCUCUGCUUGCCAUCCUAGCAGCAAGCUCUGAUAAAUGUCCCUCCAUUUGUACUGUACAGUGUUAAUGUAAUUCUUCUUCCUGUAACUGGCUCUGAGCAGGCUGUGCUACAGCAAAUAAGUUCCUUGGGUUACCCCGGUGCCUCCAUCAACCACCAGAGCUGGGAGACCACUGAAUAGGACUGGCAGCUCUGUGUGCUCUCCUGCAGCACAGUCAAGUUUAUACUUUACCACUCAGACUGUGGCACAUACAGAGCAGCCAUUACCACUUAACAUAUACUGUUUAAACUCUGUUGAAGUUUAUUCCUACACUGAGAAACCUCCUCAGCACCUCUUUUCACAUUUUGAGACAUCCUUGAUUUAGACAGAAUUGAUUUGAGCUCCCUCAUCAUGAAACAAUGUUGAAAUGAAAAAUAACAGAUGCAAGGCAGAGACACUGGAAUGAAGGACCUUCCACUACUUUAUCUGUAUGACAAGAGAACUUAAGGCAUUAACAAAAAUAAUACUGUUGUUCUUUUUUUGUUGUUCUCCAGGCAAUUUUUUUUCUACUCUUUGUUUACUUGCUAUGAAUCAUCUCCUCUUAAGAAUUCAUUGUGCAGAUUUAUAUAAGGAGACAAAGAACUGUUUAAUCAUCUGGUCUACCCUGUUCAGAGUGCAAACCUGGCACUAUACCAGCAGGAGUGCCAGUGUCUCAGUGAAAGGCAAAGCAGCAACAUCCCCUGGUAGUUCUUGCUCCAGGAGUUGAGGUCACAACUAUACAGUGUAGGAGGGCAGCCUGCUCCUCACCACCUCUGCUUCACUGGGACCACAUCCAGGUGCCUUUGGAAGAUCUUCAAGGAGGUGACUCCUAAUAAACUAUUAUUCUCUUCUGUAAGGAAGAACAUUCAUUUUUAAUUCUUCACUUCAUCCCCAGAGAACUAGGGUGCAAUGAAAAACUCUCCUUUAACAUGUCCAAGUGAAGGGCCAGGCUCCAUGCCAGUUACAAAUUCCCUAUUCCAGGCGAUUAACAACUGACAGUUGAGCUGUUAAUGUCGAAAGUAGCCUGAUCCUCACUUAUCAUCUGCAUCAUGAAGAAAAUGCCACUUGUGAAGGGUUUCUGAAGAAGCUGCUAAAUGAAGGUGACAGACUGCUAAAUGAAGGUGAAGUUUCCUUGUGUGUGCAUGUAGUUAACAGCACUUAUUUUUAUUUCCAUAAACUCUGACACACAGUUUAAGUCAUGUUCAACCCAAUUCCUUCCCAGCACAAACUCAAGUCCACACUUGUGUUUGUGUCUUGUUCACCAAGUCUGCCAUCCCAGCCAGAAGGUUCAAGAAAACCUUCAUUUUAAUGCUCUUCAGUUCCACAUCUGUUUCCCAUCAAAUUUUUUUUAGAUUUCCCUAAUGCCUUUUUUUAAAAAAAACUGGUCUCAGCCUGAUCCUAUGGAGAAGAGGAAAGAGAAUUUGCCUAACUUCCUGUGUAACAGUGGAGGCACGAAGAAAGGAAGAAGAAAUAGAAUUUACAUAAGGCAAUCAUUGAUUAAAAAUCCAAGUACAAGGUAUGAUUGAUUGCAUCUCCUGCUUCUGUUAUUUUUGAAGCAUUAAGGACAUGAAUAGCUCAAUGGGUGACAAGAAAAGUGUCAGGUUGUUAAAAAAGUUGCAGACUCAUGCCUUUAGAUCUAAAAAUUAUCGAGCUGCAGCUCAAAGGUGAAAAACUUACCCUCAGGCGAGGAGGGUGUGACUCAUCAUCUCAACAUAAAAUGUACAUAACAGACUUCUGAAUAAAUUUGGUCUUGAUAAGAUCUGUGAAGGCCAAGUUGAAGUGACUGGAGAUGAAUACAAUGUGAAAAGUGUGGAUGGAAAGCCUGGUGCUUUCACAUGUUACCUUGAUGCAGAUCUUGCCAGAACUACUACUGGAAACAAAGUCUUUGUGUGAAAUAAUCAGAUGCUAUGUAUGGGAAAAGGACCACAACAGCUGUGACACAUUUUUACUCUUUUCAUUUGCACACUUGGUCCAGAUUUGGCCUCUCUUACUCAAUUUAAAUAGUUCCUCACCAUGUAGUCAUGAAUGCAAAUAGGACUGUAUGGAAACUGAUGUGCUACCACUGCAAGGCAAGAUAAUCUGAAGACAUUGUUUUGUUUAAACUUUCUCUGUACAUAUACUCAUAAAUAUGAAAUAAAAUACUCAAUACAAACGUAAAAGGAUGUUUGUGUAUGUGUGUAGAGGUUUUUUUAACCAAAGAUCAAGAUAUGCUGAACUUCAAAAGGUUAUUUUGGGCCAGGUAAAACUUCAGAGUUUUGUUUCUCCCUGGAAAAGUCAAUAUGGUUUCUGCUCUGCUGUGAUCAAGACUAUUUACUUGACAGUUUAGAAUAAACCUAGAAUCAAUAUCUUUAUCGUGUCAUGUGGAAAUGUAUAUAUGUGUCAGAUAAAACCUUGCAGUUAUAGCAGCAAGAGAGACAUAAAUUUAGUGCUUUGAACUUUUCAGAAUUGGUUUUAGGAAUAAUGUAUUUUAUAUGGCAGAGACGCUACCAGUAAGAGGGAGUCUCAACUAAUGGAAAAUGAUUGAGGAGUCAAAAUGGUACCUCUCUUAAAUCACAAAAGAAGUGAUUAUCGUGUCUCUUCCAGAUGCAGUUUUAAUGAGACGUGAAUAGCAGUUGAGUAGGGGGUGUUGAUUUUUAAACAUACAGCAAUUAUCAGUCUCACUAGCAGUAAUCAUCUAAUAUUCCUUAAAGUAAGUCGCAAUUGUAUGUAUCUGAUCUUGCAUUCAAUCAGACUAAAAUAAGACUAACUCGUGAUUACUGUAUACACUUAGCUCUCAUUUUGAAUGACUACUUUUUAAUUCUAGAACAACUCCUAAGAGAACAGUAACAUUUUGACAAUAUCACAUAUUCCCAAAGAUAUGAAUUACCCAAGGGUAACAAAAUGUAAAGGUCAACUUUCUGUUUCACUGUGAAUUAAAUUUUGAGCUGUAACCAAUUAGCAUUUAGGUUUUUUUCUGGCUGAUUCUGAGUCUUGUAAGCCACUACUACCUCAGGGGGAACUAUUAAAAAAAAAAAAAAGAAAUCACUUCCAAAAGGUGCACACGGAUUUUCCAAUUGUCAGGGAUUUUUUUUUUUUUUUUAACAUCCAAUUGUCAGUCAGAAUUUGUCAGGGAAGGAAAGAGUGGCGCUAAGUACUUUGCAUGUGUCUCUGCUUUGCAGUUUGAUGCUCUCUGCAGCAAAAAACAAGUUAAUUCCUGGAUCAUGGAGUACUUCCCGGUGACUUGCUGGCAAACCCUAGAUGGUGGGUUUCAUCUCAGCUACCUCUAUAUGCUCUGAUGAGUGGAGCAGAAGGGCAAAAUCCCUAAAAGCCAGGUAGCCUCCAAAAGCUCUAGGGAGCAGAGGAGCCUGAGACUGAGGCGUGCCCAGGUACCUUCUGGCAUAGCAGAAGAGAAAUGAGUGAGUUUGAAACACAGUUGUUUAGUUUGUGCUGUGUUGCAGCUUUUUAGGACCAUCUUGGUCAAACAGGAAAAUACUGAAAUGUGAAUUCUCUCUUUGCAAAAACGUUUCCAGCUUUGUAUUGCAAAGCCUAGAGAAUGAGGAGCAGAAGAAUUCGCAUACUCAAGAUUCAAGUAAAGAGCACAGGAAAUGUCUAUGAAGGAAAAAGCAGUGGAAGAAGAGAACAACAGCAUCAAAAAUAACUCUAUGCAUCGAACCUAAUCCUGUGCACCUGCUACUGCGUCACUGAAGAGACUGAGUGUAGCCUGCAGUGAUAACAAGGUGGGAGAGACGUUAGGAGUGAACAAAAACAUGGCAUCAUACCAGGCACUCUGAAGAAAACAAUUCAACUCCAGUUGAAACUAAGAAACACUU